RNAcentral lists this transfer RNA (72 nucleotides) under Bos taurus (domestic cattle). It matches the Rfam family "tRNA". Rfam says of the family: Transfer RNA (tRNA) molecules are approximately 80 nucleotides in length. Their secondary structure includes four short double-helical elements and three loops (D, anti-codon, and T loops). Further hydrogen bonds mediate the characteristic L-shaped molecular structure. tRNAs have two regions of fundamental functional importance: the anti-codon, which is responsible for specific mRNA codon recognition, and the 3' end, to which the tRNAs corresponding amino acid is attached (by aminoacyl-tRNA synthetases). tRNAs cope with the degeneracy of the genetic code in two manners: having more than one tRNA (with a specific anti-codon) for a particular amino acid; and 'wobble' base-pairing, i.e. permitting non-standard base-pairing at the 3rd anti-codon position. The record is from Rfam by way of RNAcentral. RNAcentral also lists the same sequence under 2 other names. Lineage: Eukaryota; Metazoa; Chordata; Mammalia; Artiodactyla; Bovidae.
UCCCUAGUGACUCAGAUGGUAAAGAACCCACCUGUAAUGCAGGAGACCCAGGUUCAAUCCCUGGUUCGGGAA